AGUCUUAUAUUCAAAUAUUAAAUGAUAUUAAAUUGCAAAUUUAAAGGAGAUGUAAAUCUAAGGCUU
Molecule: transfer RNA, 66 nt
Filed under: Staphylinidae sp. BMNH 1274669
Lineage: Eukaryota; Metazoa; Arthropoda; Insecta; Coleoptera; Staphylinidae
Description: tRNA-Cys
Source: RNAcentral